Molecule: ribosomal RNA, 442 nt
Filed under: fungal sp.
Lineage: Eukaryota; Fungi
Description: SSU rRNA
Rfam family: Eukaryotic small subunit ribosomal RNA
Source: RNAcentral
UUGAAUUUCGGGGUCAGUAGGUUGGUCGUGCCACCGGUACGUACUGGUCUCACUGAUUCCUCCUUCCUGAUGAGCUGUAAUGCCAUUAAUUUGGUGUUGCAGGGAAUCUGGACUGUUACUUUGAAAAAUUUAGAGUGUUUAGAGCAGGACUAACGUCUGAAUACAUUAGCAUAGGAAAAUAAAAUAGGUACGUUCGAUCCUAUUUUGUUGGUUUCGUAGGAUUGACGUAAUGUUUAAUAGGGUAGUUGGGGGCAUUAGUAUUCAAUUGUCAGAGGUGAAAUUCUUGGAUUUAUUGAAGACUAACUACUGCGAAAGCAUUUGCCAAGGAUGUUUUCAUUAAUCAAGAACGAAAGUUAGGGGAUCGAAGACGAUCAGAUACCGUCGUAGUCUUAACCAUAAACUAUGCCGACUAGGGAUCGGAUGAUGUUAAUUUUAAUGACUC